RNAcentral lists this ribosomal RNA (406 nucleotides) under uncultured bacterium. RNAcentral's name for it is "partial 16S ribosomal RNA". It matches the Rfam family "Bacterial small subunit ribosomal RNA", at positions 30 to 526 of the family's 1533-position model. The record is from RNAcentral.
AUUGAACGCUGGCGGCAGGCCUAACACAUGCAAGUCGAGCGAGCGGCGGACGGGUGAGUAAUGUCUGGGAAACUGCCCGAUGGAGGGGGAUAACUACUGGAAACGGUAGCUAAUACCGCAUACUAUCGGAUGUGCCCAUAUGGGAUUAGCUAGUAGGUGGGGUAAAGGCUCACCUAGGCGACGAUCCCUAGCUGGUCUGAGAGGAUGACCAGCCACACUGGGACUGAGACACGGCCCAGACUCCUACGGGAGGCAGCAGUGGGGAAUAUUGCACAAUGGGCGCAAGCCUGAUGCAGCCAUGCCGCGUGUAUGAAGAAGGCCUUAGGGUUGUAAAGUACUUUCAGCGGGGAGGCGUUACCCGCAGAAGAAGCACCGGCUAACUCCGUGCCAGCAGCCGCGGUAAUUC